Long non-coding RNA from Corvus hawaiiensis (hawaiian crow), 178 nucleotides. RefSeq lists it as uncharacterized. The record is from RefSeq and is a predicted model, not a curated record. The transcript is spliced from 3 exons. NCBI's taxonomy places the organism in Eukaryota, Metazoa, Chordata, Aves, Passeriformes, Corvidae.
UAAAAGAAGCUGGCUUUUGUCUGUGUUUGUGGUCAAACCCAGAAAAUACUUGGAAAAGACAGAGGAUGCUACACUGAAAAUUUGAAAGCUGCAAUCAGUGCUAUGAGCUGCUUGGAAACUUUUCAGGUGAGCAGUGCUUGGCUGCAGAACUAAUGGGAGAGUGAAAAGUAAAUGAGAG